UCCUCCCCACGGUCUCUCCUCCUCCCCAUGGUCUCCUCCUCCCCACGGAAAAGAAAUCAAUAUUUCUCAAAUUGUAGCAAGCAAAUUGGGGAAUCAAAUCUGGUGCGCUCACUCCAUGGAAUCUCUCCUCCUCCCCCUUGGGAAAAGAAACCGGAUCUCUCUCAAAUUGGAGCAUCCAAGUUGGGAUAUAGAUCAGGUUCGUCACUGAUUUGUGUUGAUUUUUUCCUGAUGUAAAAUUUGAAUCGACCUUAUCUUUUCAAUUGUGUUUGGAUUAAUGAUUUUCUCACGUACGCUCUCUGGACACUUCCUAUAUUUUCUCACGUACCCUCUCUGGGCACUUUGUGGAGAUUGCAAUGGAGCUCGACCAGGCCCAUACGGCUAGCUUAUAUAUUAACUACAACCUAACACAAACAGUCUCAACAUCAAGGAGGCUCCUGUCGGCCGUGAACAUCAUUGCUGGUGAACCUUCUCCUAUUUGGUCAACUUCUUAUGUUUUUGUUCAAAACAAUGGCAUACGAUGUGCUCCAUGAUAUUAGCAAAUACAAGGAUUCUUGGAAAGUCAAGGCAGAGUAAUUAAUUAGGCUAUGGGAUGCCAUUAACCUCAGCAACAAUGAACUUAUUAGCCGUGACAUGAUACUACUUGAUGAAGAGGGCACUAUGAUACAUGGCAAGGUAAUGAAACAUAUGGUUAACAAGUUCAGACCAUUGAUCUAAGAAGGUUUAGUCUACAUGAUUGCAAAUUUGAAGGUUACAUCUGCAAUUAGUUUCCGUCCAGUUGAAAGUGAAAAGAUUUUAUAUUUCUUGCACAUGACCAAAAUUGAAGAGAUAAAAGGUCUAAAAAAUAUCAGAAUAGCAGAACAAAACUUCACGUUUUGUAGUAUUGAAGUUCUUUCCACAAGAGACGACCAGAAUAUUUACUUAUCUGAUGUCAUUCGCAUAACAAGUUACAUAGGCCAUAUUGAAGAAACACAAACAACCCUGGGAUUUGAAAGAUUCGAGAUAUUGUGCUUCGAAUUGAGGAUCAAAAAAUUAACAUUAGACUAUGGGGUAAUCAGGUUGGCCAAGUUGAUGAAGACUCUUUGGGCCAUGUUGUCAUAGUAACAUCAACUACUGUCCGAAAACUGAAAGGUUUGCAUUUGUAUUAACAAUGGGUAAGUAUUUCUAGGAGUGUUUUUAUACAUAAUUUGAUAUAUCAAGUGCAUGCAGAGUACUUACUGUCAUCUACAGGUGCGACUACAGGGAUAACCAUGGAAAUAUAUAUAUAGUACUCUCUAUGUUUAUCAAUAUAAGAUGUUUUAGAGACUCAGGAGGAGUACAUAUAGUGCAGUGACAAUAGAAAACCCCUGCAGAUCGUAUGUGUCGUGGUUUUGUCACGGCAGAUGUCCUCGUGAAAGGACUUAGUACUGGAGCCAUCGCACCUUGGUGACGAC
This is a long non-coding RNA of Hordeum vulgare subsp. vulgare (domesticated barley), 1430 nucleotides long. RefSeq lists it as uncharacterized. The transcript is spliced from 5 exons. The record is from RefSeq and is a predicted model, not a curated record. NCBI's taxonomy places the organism in Eukaryota, Viridiplantae, Streptophyta, Magnoliopsida, Poales, Poaceae.